UACGUAGGGGGCAAGCGUUGUCCGGAAUCAUUGGGCGUAAAGCGCGUGUAGGCGGCUCGAUAAGUCUGCUGUGAAAGUCCAAGGCUCAACCUUGGGAUGCCGGUGGAUACUGUCGAGCUCGAGUCCGGAAGAGGAGUGUGGAAUUCCUGGUGUAGCGGUGAAAUGCGCAGAUAUCAGGAGGAACACCAAUGGCGAAGGCAGCACUCUGGGACGUGACUGACGCUGAGACGCGAAAGCGUGGGGAGCAAACGGG
RNAcentral lists this ribosomal RNA (253 nucleotides) under uncultured bacterium. RNAcentral's name for it is "partial 16S ribosomal RNA". It matches the Rfam family "Bacterial small subunit ribosomal RNA", at positions 524 to 776 of the family's 1533-position model. The record is from RNAcentral.